Medicago truncatula (barrel medic) is the source of this 485-nucleotide long non-coding RNA. RefSeq lists it as uncharacterized. Lineage: Eukaryota; Viridiplantae; Streptophyta; Magnoliopsida; Fabales; Fabaceae. The record is from RefSeq and is a predicted model, not a curated record. The transcript has 2 exons.
GAAGGUUGUUAACAUCUUCAUAAGAUAUGAAAACUAUUUAAUGUACGUAAGGCAAAAAAUAAGUUUCAUAAAUAAUAAAUUGAUAAAAAUAUAUUCUAUCUCUUACAUCGAAAGAGGAGAAAAUAUGACUGAAAUUAUCAAGUUUGUUAAUGUUAUGAUUAUUUUGCUUUCAGUAUUUAUUAUUGCAAUGAACGUCAACGCAUCACCAGUGUUAUGUCAACGCAAUUAUGAAUGUUACGAGCAAAUAUGCUUGCCUCCUAAAAAACAUUGGUGCAAUAUAUUAGAGCUAGUUCGGAUCAACGGAUUCUAUCUAGGCCUUUGUGCAUGUAUUUGAGUGAAUGUGCUUAUAAAAUUCUGCUAGAAUUUUCAUAAGUUGUCUUUUAGUAAAUGUGCAAGAACCCAUAAUUUGUAUUUUAUUCACUUUCUAAUUUCAUGGACCCAUGAUAAUUUGUAUUUUAUUUCGGGUCUGUCGCUAUUUUCUGACU